This 240-nucleotide ribosomal RNA is filed under the name uncultured bacterium. Its description in RNAcentral is "partial 16S ribosomal RNA". It matches the Rfam family "Bacterial small subunit ribosomal RNA", at positions 678 to 916 of the family's 1533-position model. The record is from RNAcentral.
GCGGUGAAAUGCGUAGAUAUCUAUCGGAACGCCGAAGGUGAAAACAGGCAGCUGGGCUUGAUCUGACGCUGAGGUACGAAAGCGUGGGGAGCGAACGGGAUUAGAUACCCCGGUAGUCCACGCCGUAAACGAUGUGCACUUGAUCAGGGUGGUUCUGACAUCUCCCGGAUCGAAGCAAAAGUGUUUAGUGCACCGCCUGGGGAGUACGGUCGCAGGGCUAAAACUCAAAUGAAUUGACGG